UAGGGUGUAGCUCAGUGGUAGAGCACUUGCAUAACAUGCGUGAGUGCCUGGGUUCCAUCCCCAGCAUCUCAA
Molecule: non-coding RNA, 72 nt
Organism: Ictidomys tridecemlineatus (thirteen-lined ground squirrel)
Lineage: Eukaryota; Metazoa; Chordata; Mammalia; Rodentia; Sciuridae
Source: Rfam